RNAcentral lists this ribosomal RNA (421 nucleotides) under uncultured bacterium. Its description in RNAcentral is "partial 16S ribosomal RNA". It matches the Rfam family "Bacterial small subunit ribosomal RNA", at positions 360 to 773 of the family's 1533-position model. The record is from RNAcentral.
AAUUUUGGACAAUGGGGGAAACCCUGAUCCAGCCAUCCCGAGUGUAUGGUGAAGGCCUUCGGGUUGUAAAGUACUUUUGGCAGAGAAGAAAAGGUACCUCCUAAUACGAGGUACUGCUGACGGUAUCUGCAGAAUAAGCACCGGCUAACUCCGUGCCAGCAGCCGCGGUAAUACGAAGGGCGCAAGCGUUAAUCGGAAUUACUGGGGCUCAAGCGUGUGUAGGCGGUUCGGAAAGAAAGAUGAGAAAUCCCAGGGCUCAACCUUGGAACUGCAUUUUUAACUGCCGAGCUAGAGUAUGUCAGAGGGGGGUAGAAUUCCACGUGUAGCAGUGAAAUGCGUAGAUAUGUGGAGGAAUACCGAUGGCGAAGGCAGCCCCCUGGGAUAAUACUGACGCUCAGACACGAAAGCGUGGGGAGCAAAC